This 253-nucleotide ribosomal RNA is filed under the name uncultured bacterium. RNAcentral describes it as "partial 16S ribosomal RNA". It matches the Rfam family "Bacterial small subunit ribosomal RNA", at positions 524 to 776 of the family's 1533-position model. The record is from RNAcentral.
UACAGAGGGGGCGAGCGUUGUUCGGAAUUACUGGGCGUAAAGGGCGCGUAGGCGGCCCGCUAAGUCGAACGUGAAAUCCCCAGGCUCAACCUGGGAACUGCGUCCGAUACCGGCAGGCUUGAAUCCGGGAGAGGGAUGUGGAAUUCCAGGUGUAGCGGUGAAAUGCGUAGAUAUCUGGAGGAACACCGGUGGCGAAGGCGGCAUCCUGGACCGGUAUUGACGCUGAGGCGCGAAAGCUAGGGGAGCAAACGGG